Long non-coding RNA from Hippocampus comes (tiger tail seahorse), 197 nucleotides. RefSeq lists it as uncharacterized. NCBI's taxonomy places the organism in Eukaryota, Metazoa, Chordata, Actinopteri, Syngnathiformes, Syngnathidae. The record is from RefSeq and is a predicted model, not a curated record. The transcript has 3 exons.
AGAAAAUAAUGACUCCAUACCAGUGUUUCUUAACCAGGGUUCGAGCGAACCCUAGGGGUUCGAUGAAUCAGUUUCAGGGAUUCGACAGAGCCUCUGCCAUGGAGGUUAAGACAAACCCGACUCAACAUGUCAUUUAGUUAUGAUUCGUCCGCUUGGCCAUUACACGGCUGGUUCAUUUUGUGCACAAUUAAAAAACG